AUGGCUCGCAACCAGCAGCUGAGGGUGCUGCAGGCACUGGACGUGGCGAGGACGCAGCUGUACCACUUCAUGGCGAUCGUGAUCGCCGGCAUGGGCUUCUUCACCGACGCCUACGACCUCUUCACCAUCUCCCUUGUCGCCGACCUCAUCGACCACAGGUACUACCCAGAUGGCCAGAGAGGAGACUACCUCCCCGUCCUCAUCAACGCCGUCUCCCUCUGCGGCACUGUGCCUGGGCAGCUCGUCUUCGGCUGGCUCGGCGACAAGAUGGGCCGGAAGCGCAUAUAUGGCGUCACUCUGCUCCUCAUGAUCUUCUGCUCCCUCGCCUCCGGCUUCACCUUCGGCAAGAGCACUAACAAAAGCGUCGUGACCACACUCUGCUUCUUCCGCUUCUGGCUAGGCUUCAGUAUCGGCGGCGACUACCCGCUGUCGGCCACCAUCAUGUCUGAGUAUGCUAGCAAGAGGACCCGCGGUGCCUUCAUGGCCGCCGUUUUCGCCAUGCAAGGUUUCGGAAACGUUGCUGCGGGGCUAGUUGGCACGAUCACAUCAGCAGCCUUCGUGAACUCAUCGCAGGACAAAAUUGAUUAUGUCUGGCGCAUUGUUCUCAUGUUUGGUGCCAUUCCUGCACUCCUCACCUACUACUGGCGCAUGAAGAUGCCAGAGACGGCACGGUACACCGCCCUCAUAGCCAAGGAUGCAAAGAUGGCCGCAUCAGACAUGUCUGCCGUCCUCCACAUGCCCAUCGUUCCUGAAGAUGACGGCGUCAACGAGCUCGCCAGCCAGGACCAAUAUGGCCUCUUCUCCUCAGAGUUCCUCCGCCGUCACGGGCUCCACCUCCUUAGCACCGCCGUCUGCUGGUUCGUCCUUGACGUCACCUUCUACUCCCUCAACAUGUUUAUGAAGGACAUCUUUACUAAAGUCAGGCUGCUUGACAUUGACGAUGACCUUCUUAAGGUAUAUUGUCAAAUGGCUAGCCCACCUGUGGCGCCAGGAUAUCAUAAAUCCGACAAUCCGUUCAAGCGAACGAUACGCAUCACUGGAGUGCACACGGCCAUCGCAGCGGCAUGUACAUUGCCAGGGUACUUCUUCGCGGUGGCCUUCAUUGACCGCAUAGGACGCGUGAAAAUCCAAUUGCUCGGCUUCACCAUGAUGACGGUCUUUCAACUUUGCCUUGCCAUCCCUUAUCCUAAAUGGCUAGAAUGCAACAGAAACAAAUAUGGAUUCGCCGUCCUGUAUGGCUUCACCUUUUUCUUCGCCAACUUUGGGCCAAACACUACGACUUUCAUCCUUCCAGCAGAACUCUUCCCGGCACGGUUGCGCUCCACAUGCCAUGGUAUAUCAGGUGCGGUCGGGAAGAUCGGCGCCGUCGUCGGCGUGUUUGCCUUCCACUUGUUGAGGAACCAAUUCAGGACCUUGCUGUUUGUCCUUGUUGGUUGCAAUCUAGUUGGCAUUAUGUUCACUCUUCUAUUGCCGGAAACCAUGGGUAAAUCUCUUGAGGAGAUUACUGGAGAGACAGAAGAAGGUCAGACUCUGGAUGAUGAAGCUACAACGGUCAACGCAGACGACGGCAUACACGUUGUGCCUGUUUAA
RNAcentral lists this ribosomal RNA (1590 nucleotides) under Triticum aestivum (bread wheat). RNAcentral describes it as "partial small subunit ribosomal RNA". Lineage: Eukaryota; Viridiplantae; Streptophyta; Magnoliopsida; Poales; Poaceae. The record is from RNAcentral.